Molecule: ribosomal RNA, 558 nt
Filed under: uncultured bacterium
Lineage: Bacteria
Description: bacterial SSU rRNA
Rfam family: Bacterial small subunit ribosomal RNA
Source: RNAcentral
CCUACGGGAGGCAGCAGUGGGGAAUCUUGCACAAUGGAGGAAACUCUGAUGCAGCGAUGCCGCGUGAGUGAAGAAGGCCUUUGGGUUGUAAAGCUCUUUUGUAGGGGAAGAUAAUGACUGUACCCUAAGAAUAAGGUCCGGCUAACUUCGUGCCAGCAGCCGCGGUAAUACGAAGGGACCUAGCGUAGUUCGGAAUUACUGGGCGUAAAGCGCGCGUAGGCCGUUGAGUUAGUUAAUUGUGAAAUCCCAAAGCUUAACUUUGGAACUGCAAUUAAAACUGCUCGACUAGAGUUUGAUAGAGGAAAGCGGAAUACAUAGUGUAGAGGUGAAAUUCGUAGAUAUUAUGUAGAACACCAGUUGCGAAGGCGGCUUUCUGGAUCAACACUGACGCUGAGGCGCGAAAGUAUGGGUAGCAAAGAGGAUUAGAUACCCUCGUAGUCCAUACCAUGAACGAUGAUUGCUAGAUGUUGGAAAUUUAUUUUCAGUAUCGCAGCUAACGCAUUAAGCAAUCCGCCUGGGGAGUACGACCGCAAGGUUAAAACUCAAAGGAAUUGACGG